UUUUAUAUAGUAUAAUAUAUUACAUUUUAUUUCCAAUAAAAUAAUUUAAUUAAAUUAAUAUAAAUA
Molecule: transfer RNA, 66 nt
Filed under: Alloxysta sp. ZJUH_2016001
Lineage: Eukaryota; Metazoa; Arthropoda; Insecta; Hymenoptera; Figitidae
Description: tRNA-Gly
Source: RNAcentral